Molecule: ribosomal RNA, 460 nt
Filed under: uncultured bacterium
Lineage: Bacteria
Description: partial 16S ribosomal RNA
Rfam family: Bacterial small subunit ribosomal RNA
Source: RNAcentral
CCUACGGGUGGCAGCAGUGAGGAAUAUUGGUCAAUGGGAGGAAUCCUGAACCAGCCAUGCCGCGUGCAGGACGACGGCUCUACGAGUUGUAAACUGCUUUUGUACCGGGGUAAAAUGCCUUACGUGUAGGGUUUUGAAAGUACGGUACGAAUAAGGAUCGGCUAACUCCGUGCCAGCAGCCGCGGUAAUACGGAGGAUCCGAGCGUUAUCCGGAUUCGUUGGGUUUAAAGGGUGCGUAGGUUGUUGUAUAAGUUAGCGGUGAAAGACCGAGGCUCAACAUCGGGGCUGCCGCUAAUACUGUAGGACGAGAGAUCGGAUGAAGCAGGCGGAAUGUGUAGUGUAGCGGUGAAAUGCAUAGAUAUUACACAGAACACCGAUGGCGAAGGCAGCUUGCUAGGCCGGAUCUGACACUGAUGCACGAAAGCGUGGGGAUCGAACAGGAUUAGAUACCCCGGUAGUC